This 253-nucleotide ribosomal RNA is filed under the name uncultured bacterium. Its description in RNAcentral is "partial 16S ribosomal RNA". It matches the Rfam family "Bacterial small subunit ribosomal RNA", at positions 524 to 776 of the family's 1533-position model. The record is from RNAcentral.
UACGAAGGGGGCGAGCGUUGUUCGGAUUUACUGGGCGUAAAGGGCGCGUAGGCGGCGCGAGAAGUCGAGUGUGAAAGCCCCGGGCUCAACCUGGGAACUGCAUUGGAAACUGGCAAGCUCGAGUAUGGCAGAGGGGGGUGGAAUUCCGCGUGUAGCAGUGAAAUGCGUAGAGAUGCGGAGGAACACCGAUGGCGAAGGCAGCCCCCUGGGCCAAUACUGACGCUCAGGCACGAAAGCGUGGGGAGCAAACAGG